AUGAACGCUGGCGGCGUGCCUAAUACAUGCAAGUCGAACGCCGGAAAUCUAGCUUGCUAGAUUGAAGGAGUGGCGAACGGGUGAGUAAUACAUAAGCAACCUACCCACGAAGACUGGGAUAAUCUCUGGAAACGGGGACUAAUACCGGAUAGGUAAUCGGAAGGCAUCUUCUGAUUAUUAAAGGUUAAAAACACUGGUGGAUGGGCUUAUGGCGCAUUAGUUAGUUGGUGAGGUAACGGCCCACCAAGACGAUGAUGCGUAGCCGGCCUGAGAGGGUGAACGGCCACAUUGGGACUGAGACACGGCCCAGACUCCUACGGGAGGCAGCAGUAGGGAAUUUUCGGCAAUGGGGGAAACCCUGACCGAGCAACGCCGCGUGAGUGAGGACGGCCUUCGGGUUGUAAAGCUCUGUUGUAAGGGAAGAACGGUAGAUAGAGAAUAUCUAAAUGACGGUACCUUACCAGAAAGCCACGGCUAACUACGUG
This 485-nucleotide ribosomal RNA is filed under the name uncultured bacterium. RNAcentral describes it as "partial 16S ribosomal RNA". It matches the Rfam family "Bacterial small subunit ribosomal RNA", at positions 29 to 507 of the family's 1533-position model. The record is from RNAcentral.